AACUAUCCCCGUACGGAUAUUGGGCGUAAGAGCUCGUAGGCGGUUUGUCGCGUCUGCUGUGAAAGACCGGGGCUCAACUCCGGUUCUGCAGUGGGUACGGGCAGACUAGAGUGCAGUAGGGGAGACUGGAAUUCCUGGUGUAGCGGUGAAAUGCGCAGAUAUCAGGAGGAACACCGAUGGCGAAGGCAGGUCUCUGGGCUGUAACUGACGCUGAGGAGCGAAAGCAUGGGGAGCGAACAGGAUUAGAUACCCUGGUAGUCCAUGCCGUAAACGUUGGGCACUAGGUGUGGGGGACAUUCCACGUUUUCCGCGCCGUAGCUAACGCAUUAAGUGCCCCGCCUGGGGAGUACGGCCGCAAGGCUAAAACUCAAAGGAAUUGACGGGGGCCCGCACAAGCGGCGGAGCAUGCGGAUUAAUUCGAUGCAACGCGAAGAACCUUACCAAGGCUUGACAUGAACCGGUAAUACCUGGAAACAGGUGCCCCGCUUGCGGUCGGUUUACAGGUGGUGCAUGGUUGUCGUCAGCUCGUGUCGUGAGAUGUUGGGUUAAGUCCCGCAACGAGCGCAACCCUCGUUCUAUGUUGCCAGCGGUUCGGCCGGGGACUCAUAGGAGACUGCCGGGGUCAACUCGGAGGAAGGUGGGGACGACGUCAAAUCAUCAUGCCCCUUAUGUCUUGGGCUUCACGCAUGCUACAAUGGCCGGUACAAAGGGUUGCGAUACUGUGAGGUGGAGCUAAUCCCAAAAAGCCGGUCUCAGUUCGGAUUGGGGUCUGCAACUCGACCCCAUGAAGUCGGAGUCGCUAGUAAUCGCAGAUCAGCAACGCUGCGGUGAAUACGUUCCCGGGCCUUGUACACACCGCCCGUCAAGUCACGAAAGUUGGUAACACCCGAAGCCGGUGGCCUAACCCUUGUGGGGGGAGCCGUCGAAGGUGGGACCGGCGAUUGGGACUAAGUCGUA
RNAcentral lists this ribosomal RNA (957 nucleotides) under Paenarthrobacter ilicis. RNAcentral describes it as "bacterial SSU rRNA". It matches the Rfam family "Bacterial small subunit ribosomal RNA", at positions 533 to 1490 of the family's 1533-position model. Lineage: Bacteria; Bacillati; Actinomycetota; Actinomycetes; Micrococcales; Micrococcaceae. The record is from RNAcentral.